This 1008-nucleotide ribosomal RNA is filed under the name Cophinforma atrovirens. Its description in RNAcentral is "SSU rRNA". It matches the Rfam family "Eukaryotic small subunit ribosomal RNA", at positions 83 to 1099 of the family's 1831-position model. The record is from RNAcentral. Lineage: Eukaryota; Fungi; Ascomycota; Dothideomycetes; Botryosphaeriales; Botryosphaeriaceae.
GAAACUGCGAAUGGCUCAUUAAAUCAGUUAUCGUUUAUUUGAUAGUACCUUACUACUUGGAUAACCGUGGUAAUUCUAGAGCUAAUACAUGCUAAAAACCUCGACUUCGGAAGGGGUGUAUUUAUUAGAUAAAAAACCAAUGCCCUUCGGGGCUCCUUGGUGAUUCAUGAUAACUUAACGAAUCGCAUGGCCUUGCGCCGGCGAUGGUUCAUUCAAAUUUCUGCCCUAUCAACUUUCGAUGGUAGGAUAGUGGCCUACCAUGGUAUCAACGGGUAACGGGGAAUUAGGGUUCUAUUCCGGAGAGGGAGCCUGAGAAACGGCUACCACAUCCAAGGAAGGCAGCAGGCGCGCAAAUUACCCAAUCCCGACACGGGGAGGUAGUGACAAUAAAUACUGAUACAGGGCUCUUUUGGGUCUUGUAAUUGGAAUGAGUACAAUUUAAAUACCUUAACGAGGAACAAUUGGAGGGCAAGUCUGGUGCCAGCAGCCGCGGUAAUUCCAGCUCCAAUAGCGUAUAUUAAAGUUGUUGCAGUUAAAAAGCUCGUAGUUGAACCUUGGGCCUGGCUGGCCGGUCCGCCUCACCGCGUGUACUGGUCCGGCCGGGCCUUUCCUUCUGGGGAUCCGCAUGCCCUUCACUGGGUGUGUCGGGGAACCAGGACUUUUACUUUGAAAAAAUUAGAGUGUUCAAAGCAGGCCUUUGCUCGAAUACAUUAGCAUGGAAUAAUAGAAUAGGACGUGCGGUCCUAUUUUGUUGGUUUCUAGGACCGCCGUAAUGAUUAAUAGGGAUAGUCGGGGGCAUCAGUAUUCAAUUGUCAGAGGUGAAAUUCUUGGAUUUAUUGAAGACUAACUACUGCGAAAGCAUUUGCCAAGGAUGUUUUCAUUAAUCAGUGAACGAAAGUUAGGGGAUCGAAGACGAUCAGAUACCGUCGUAGUCUUAACCGUAAACUAUGCCGACUAGGGAUCGGGCGAUGUUAUUCUUUUGACUCGCUCGGCACCUUACGAGAAAUC